Molecule: non-coding RNA, 728 nt
Organism: Vigna umbellata (rice bean)
Lineage: Eukaryota; Viridiplantae; Streptophyta; Magnoliopsida; Fabales; Fabaceae
Source: RefSeq, a predicted model, not a curated record
CUCCUUUGUUAUAGAGGGCAUCUCAUAUCUAUUUGGUUAAUUCUUUCAGAUUACCGUAUUGCGUUCUCAAUGAACUGAUUCUCGUUUUUCCCUGUCUAUAACUUUUGUUGGUGGUUGAUAUUAUGGUUUUACAGCCAUUUUUUCCCUUUUUCUUUUAUCCAUAUAGUGCACCUUUGUUAACGAUUCAAUGACUGUGGAACAUGCCAGAGAUUAUGGACACACUCAUCUCUCUGAGAUAAUAAGUCAUGCUGAGAGGUUACAGAACAGAGCAAUCCUUUUGAUUCACUUCUCAGCACGUUACACAGUAGAGGAAAUUCAACAAGCUGUAAGUGCUUUGCCUCCUAGUUUAGCUGGUCGAACUUAUGCGCUUACAGAAGGUUUCUGACAAGUUGAGAGAGUUUACUUGAUACAUACCUGACCAUGGAGGUUUAGCCUCCAAACCACCUGAGACUAUUGGACGCGGGUAGAAUUUAUAGUCCAUAGAUGAUGAAGACAAGGAGAAGUGGAGUGCAGAGCAAAAUCCAAUGAUGCAUGGUAUGUUUGGAUUGCCGUUUGAAUGACCAAAAACAUGCAGUUGCACUUUCUUAUAGUGAAAUUGGAGGAGCAACAGCAGUUUUUGGUUGAAUGUAAUGCCAUCUUUACGUUGGAAUGAACUGUUUUCCAAACAUAGGUUAAACAUUAUUUACCUACAUUUUUAUCAGGCUGUUUGUAGUAAUUUUUAUUUGCUA